GAUGAACGCUGGCGGCGUGCCUAAUACAUGCAAGUCGAGCGAGGCGGGGACGGGUGAGUAACACGUGGAUAACCUCCGAUAAGGAUGGGAAAACUUCGGGAAACCGGAGCUAAACCGGAUACUUAUACAUGGAUCCGCGCUGCAUUAGCUAGUUGGUACGGUAACGGCGUACCAAGGCGAGGAUGCAUAGCCGACCUGAGAGGGGGAUCGGCCAAACUGGCACUGAGACACGGUCCAGACUCCUACGGGAGGCAGCAGUGGGGAAUCUUCCGCAAUGGGCGAAAGCCUGACGGAGCAACACCGCGUGAGUGAUGAAGGUCUUCGGAUCGUAAAACUCUGUUAUUAGGGAAGCGGUACCUAAUCAGAAAGCCCCGGCUAACUACGUGCCAGCAGCCGCGGUAAUUC
This 405-nucleotide ribosomal RNA is filed under the name uncultured bacterium. RNAcentral describes it as "partial 16S ribosomal RNA". It matches the Rfam family "Bacterial small subunit ribosomal RNA", at positions 28 to 526 of the family's 1533-position model. The record is from RNAcentral.